ACAUGAUGAGUUAUCCAGCUGGCACCAGUCAUAGAGCGACUUGUACUCCCUUUCCUUGAUGACUAAAUGCUGUGGUCUACGACCUUCCUCUGAU
Molecule: small nucleolar RNA, 94 nt
Filed under: Microdochium bolleyi
Lineage: Eukaryota; Fungi; Ascomycota; Sordariomycetes; Xylariales; Microdochiaceae
Also listed under: 1 other name
Description: A. fumigatus snoRNA Afu_190
Rfam family: A. fumigatus snoRNA Afu_190
Source: Rfam by way of RNAcentral